GAUGAAGAACGCAGCGAAAUGCGAUAAGUAAUGUGAAUUGCAGAAUUCAGUGAAUCAUCGAAUCUUUGAACGCACAUUGCGCCCGCCAGUAUUCUGGCGGACAUGCCUGUUCGAGCGUCAUUACAACCCUCAGGCCCCCGGGCCUGGCGUUGGGGAUCGGCGGAAGCCCCCUGCGGGCACAACGCCGUCCCCCAAAUACAGUGGCGGUCCCGCCGCAGCUUCCAUUGCGUAGUAGCUAACACCUCGCAACUGGAGAGCGGCGCGGCCACGCCGUAAAACACCCAACUUCUGAAUGUUGACCUCGAAUCAGGUAGGAAUACCCGCUGAACUUAAGCAUAUCAAUAAGCGGAGGA
This 353-nucleotide unclassified non-coding RNA is filed under the name soil metagenome. RNAcentral's name for it is "partial contains 5.8S ribosomal RNA, internal transcribed spacer 2, and large subunit ribosomal RNA". The stretch from base 1 to 120 matches the Rfam family "5.8S ribosomal RNA", at positions 35 to 154 of the family's 154-position model. The record is from RNAcentral.